CCUACGGGAGGCAGCAGUGGGGAAUAUUGCACAAUGGGCGCAAGCCUGAUGCAGCCAUGCCGCGUGUGUGAAGAAGGCCUUCGGGUUGUAAAGCACUUUCAGCGGGGAGGAAGGCGUUAAGGUUAAUAACCUUGUCGAUUGACGUUACCCGCAGAAGAAGCACCGGCUAACUCCGUGCCAGCAGCCGCGGUAAUACGGAGGGUGCAAGCGUUAAUCGGAAUUACUGGGCGUAAAGCGCACGCAGGCGGUCUGUCAAGACGGAUGUGAAAUCCCCGGGCUCAACCUGGGAACUGCAUUCGAAACUGGCAGGCUAGAGUCUUGUAGAGGGGGGUAGAAUUCCAGGUGUAGCGGUGAAAUGCGUAGAGAUCUGGAGGAAUACCGGUGGCGAAGGCGGCCCCCUGGACAAAGACUGACGCUCAGGUGCGAAAGCGUGGGGAGCAAACAGGAUUAGAUACCCUUGUAGUC
RNAcentral lists this ribosomal RNA (465 nucleotides) under uncultured Klebsiella sp. Its description in RNAcentral is "bacterial SSU rRNA". It matches the Rfam family "Bacterial small subunit ribosomal RNA", at positions 338 to 795 of the family's 1533-position model. The record is from RNAcentral. Lineage: Bacteria; Pseudomonadati; Pseudomonadota; Gammaproteobacteria; Enterobacterales; Enterobacteriaceae.